GCCGCUGCUCCGCAAGGAGGAGAGGAAAGUCCGGGCAACACAGAGCACCGUGCUUCCUAACGGGAAGGAGUCCGCGAGGGCUACGGAAAGUGCCGCAGAAAAGAUACCGCCUGCUUGCAGGUAAGGGUGAAAACGCGAGGUAAGAGCUCACGACACUGCGCAGUGAUGCCGGUGAUGGUAAACCCCACGGGUUGAAAGACCAAAUAAACCGAGGCUUGAGGGUGGCUCGCCCGACUCGGAGGGUAGGUUGAUAGAGCCGUUCGGUGACGGGCGGCGUAGAUAAAUGGCGGAACUCGACAGAACCCGGCUUACAGACUGC
Molecule: RNase P RNA, 319 nt
Filed under: bovine gut metagenome
Description: Bacterial RNase P class A
Rfam family: Bacterial RNase P class A
About the family: Ribonuclease P (RNase P) is a ubiquitous endoribonuclease, found in archaea, bacteria and eukarya as well as chloroplasts and mitochondria.
Source: RNAcentral